UGAGGAAUAUUGGUCAAUGGGCGGGAGCCUGAACCAGCCAAGUCGCGUGAGGGACGACGGUCCUAUGGAUUGUAAACCUCUUUUGUCGGGGAACAAAGGUGCCCACGGGUGGGCGGAUGAGUGUACCCGAAGAAAAAGCAUCGGCUAACUCCGUGCCAGCAGCCGCGGUAAUACGGAGGAUGCGAGCGUUAUCCGGAUUUAUUGGGUUUAAAGGGUGCGUAGGCGGACAGUCAAGUCAGCGGUAAAAAUGCGGUGCUCAACGCCGUACAGCCGUUGAAACUGGCAGUCUUGAGUGGGCGAGAA
Molecule: ribosomal RNA, 303 nt
Filed under: uncultured bacterium
Lineage: Bacteria
Description: bacterial SSU rRNA
Rfam family: Bacterial small subunit ribosomal RNA
Source: RNAcentral